Long non-coding RNA from Maniola jurtina (meadow brown), 156 nucleotides. RefSeq lists it as uncharacterized. Lineage: Eukaryota; Metazoa; Arthropoda; Insecta; Lepidoptera; Nymphalidae. The record is from RefSeq and is a predicted model, not a curated record. The transcript is spliced from 3 exons.
CUUGUAUAAUAAUUUCUGGGAGCCGCUGUUAACGAUUCCGUCGCGCGUUAUGUGAAAAGCCUUUAAGUAUUAGGUCAGGGAACAAUAUGAAGGAAAAACGCGCGCGUAUAGAAAUGUUAAGGGAGCGCUAAAUCUACGCGGACAAUACACAGAUAU